RNAcentral lists this ribosomal RNA (585 nucleotides) under Triticum aestivum (bread wheat). RNAcentral describes it as "partial small subunit ribosomal RNA". Lineage: Eukaryota; Viridiplantae; Streptophyta; Magnoliopsida; Poales; Poaceae. The record is from RNAcentral.
AUGGGAUCAUCGCCAAGCCACUCACGCAACUGCUCACUAAGAAAGGAUUUCUCUGGUCUGAACAAGCCCAGGUCGCCUUUGACCUCCUCAAACAAGCUAUGGUCAAUACCCCGGUCUUGGCACUGCCCGAUUUCCAUCAAAACAGAUGCUUGCGACACCGGAGUGGGCGUGGUGCUAGUCCAAGAUGGUCACCCAGUGGCAUAUCUCAGCAAGGCAUUGGGGGUCUGCAAUCAGCGUCUGUCCAUCUACGAGAAAGAGUUUCUCGCUGUCAUCAUGGCCGUUGAAAAAUGGUGUGCCUAUCUGCAGAGAGCCCCCUUUGUCAUUAUCACUGAUCACAAAAGUUUGUGUAGUUUGGGAGAUCAACAGUUGGAAACGGAGCUUCAGCGCAAGGCUAUGUCAAACAUGGUGGGGUUACAGUUCUCCUUCAGAUAUCGCCGGGGCCAAGAUAACGGCGCGGCAGAUGCCUUGUCCCGCGUCGGCCACUUACUGUCUGUCGAAGCACUGUCUGUCUGUCAGCCCCAAUGGCUUCAAGAGGUUGCUAACUCUUAUGAGACAGAUCCUGACGCGCAAGCCAUGUUGCAGUGA